GUCUUAUUGAUAAUAAUUUUAAGUCAAUCUGCCCAAUGGAAUAAAUUAAAUGGCUGCAGUAUAAUUAACUGUACAAAGGUAGCAUAAUCAAUUGAUUUUUAAAUGAAAUCUAGAAUGAAAGAAUUAAUGAAAUAUAUACUGUCUCAAAUAUAUUAUAUAAAUUUAAAUUUUUAAUAAAAAUGUUAAAAUUUUUUUAUGGGACGAUAAGACCCUAUAGAAUUUUAUAUAAAUUUAUUUUUAUAAUUAAUAUAAUAAUUAAAUUUAUAUUUAAUUGGGAGGAUUAUUAAAUUUAAAAAACUUUAAUUUUUAAAAACUUUAAUUUAAGAAAAAUUUUUGAUCUUUAAUUUAAAAUUAAUAGAAUAAAUUACCUUAGGGAUAACAGCGUUAUAUUUUUUUAUAGAUCAUAUAGAAAAAAAUGAUUGCGACCUCGAUGUUGAAUUAAGAUAAAUUUUUAAUGUAGAAGUUAAAUAAUUAAGUCUGUUCGACUUUUAAAAUCUUACAUGAUUUGAGUUCAAAUCGACGUAAGU
RNAcentral lists this ribosomal RNA (527 nucleotides) under Trigonisca nataliae. RNAcentral's name for it is "partial 16S ribosomal RNA". The stretch from base 375 to 527 matches the Rfam family "Bacterial large subunit ribosomal RNA", at positions 2473 to 2626 of the family's 2925-position model. Lineage: Eukaryota; Metazoa; Arthropoda; Insecta; Hymenoptera; Apidae. The record is from RNAcentral.